RNAcentral lists this ribosomal RNA (922 nucleotides) under uncultured bacterium. RNAcentral's name for it is "bacterial SSU rRNA". It matches the Rfam family "Bacterial small subunit ribosomal RNA", at positions 8 to 926 of the family's 1533-position model. The record is from RNAcentral.
AGAGUUUGAUCCUGGCUCAGAUUGAACGCUGGCGGCAUGCCUUACACAUGCAAGUCGAACGGCAGCACGGACUUCGGUCUGGUGGCGAGUGGCGAACGGGUGAGUAAUAUAUCGGAACAUACCCAGUAGUGGGGGAUAACUAUCCGAAAGGAUAGCUAAUACCGCAUACGAUCUGUGGAUGAAAGCAGGGGAUCUUCGGACCUUGUGCUAUUGGAAUGGCCGAUAUCUGAUUAGCUAGUUGGUAGGGUAAAAGCCUACCAAGGCGACGAUCAGUAGCUGGUCUGAGAGGACGACCAGCCACACUGGAACUGAGACACGGUCCAGACUCCUACGGGAGGCAGCAGUGGGGAAUUUUGGACAAUGGGGGCAACCCUGAUCCAGCAAUGCCGCGUGAGUGAAGAAGGCCCUCGGGUUGUAAAGCUCUUUUGUCAGGGAAGAAACGGAGUUCUCUAAUAUAGGAUUCUAAUGACGGUACCUGAAGAAUAAGCACCGGCUAACUACGUGCCAGCAGCCGCGGUAAUACGUAGGGUGCAAGCGUUAAUCGGAAUUACUGGGCGUAAAGCGUGCGCAGGCGGUUUUGUAAGUCUGAUGUGAAAUCCCCGGGCUCAACCUGGGAACUGCAUUGGAGACUGCAAGGCUAGAGUGUGUCAGAGGGGGGUAGAAUUCCACGUGUAGCAGUGAAAUGCGUAGAGAUGUGGAGGAAUACCGAUGGCGAAGGCAGCCCCCUGGGAUAACACUGACGCUCAUGCACGAAAGCGUGGGGAGCAAACAGGAUUAGAUACCCUGGUAGUCCACGCCCUAAACGAUGUCUACUAGUUGUCGGGACUUAAUUGUCUUGGUAACGCAGCUAACGCGUGAAGUAGACCGCCUGGGGGAGUACGGUCGCAGAUUAAAACUCAAAGGAAUUGACGGGGACCCGCAC